Molecule: ribosomal RNA, 254 nt
Filed under: uncultured bacterium
Lineage: Bacteria
Description: partial 16S ribosomal RNA
Rfam family: Bacterial small subunit ribosomal RNA
Source: RNAcentral
UACGUAGGGGGCAAGCGUUGUCCGGAUUUAUUGGGCGUAAAGAGCGUGUAGGCGGUUUGGUAGGUCCGCUGUGAAAACUCGAGGCUCAACCUCGAGACGCCGGUGGAAACCAUCAGGCUAGAGUCCGGAAGAGGAGACUGGAAUUCCUGGUGUAGCGGUGAAAUGCGCAGAUAUCAGGAGGAACACCGAUGGCGAAGGCAGGUCUCUGGGCCACUACUGACGCUGAGAAGCGAAAGCAUGGGGGAGCGAACAGG